Molecule: transfer RNA, 68 nt
Filed under: Vitta usnea
Lineage: Eukaryota; Metazoa; Mollusca; Gastropoda; Cycloneritida; Neritidae
Description: Neritina usnea tRNA-Leu
Rfam family: tRNA
About the family: Transfer RNA (tRNA) molecules are approximately 80 nucleotides in length. Their secondary structure includes four short double-helical elements and three loops (D, anti-codon, and T loops).
Source: RNAcentral
AUUAAGGUGGCAGAAGAAGUGCAUUAGGUUUAAGCCCUAAAUAUGAAGAUUAAUAUCUUCCCUUAAUA